RNAcentral lists this long non-coding RNA (457 nucleotides) under Vulpes vulpes (red fox). RNAcentral's name for it is "lncRNA (ENSVVUG00000000499.1)". Lineage: Eukaryota; Metazoa; Chordata; Mammalia; Carnivora; Canidae. The record is from RNAcentral.
CGACGCCCCCGCAGAAUCGCUGGCCGAGGUCCGGGGGCGGAUGGGGGGGCGCGGGGAGGACCCCGCAGAAUCGCUGGCCGCGCGUGCUGGAGGAAAACAGAACUACAGGGUAAAGUUCAAGUAAGAAAUCCUGCUCAGUUAAGAAACCUCAAGUUCAUCUCUCCUAACCCCCACCAUGCUGGCCUCACUAUGGAGUUGGGUGUCCACUUCUUGGCUGGCUCUAUUGUAGCAGGUAAGCAAGACCAGCAUUUGUGGUAAUAACCACAAUUUGUGGUAUAAGCCACCUUGUUAAGAGGGAUCUUUAUGGCUGUAAGGUAGUUCAUUCUGCCAAUAUGUUCUUGAAUUAUCCUGUUAAAUAUGCAUUCUUACAGAGCUAUGAAGGGUAUUGUUCUCCCAGCUGUCUUCCAUUUGCUCCAUCAAAUUCUCAGGAUCCCCUCACAGGGUAGCUAUGAAGUGA